This 427-nucleotide ribosomal RNA is filed under the name uncultured bacterium. RNAcentral describes it as "partial 16S ribosomal RNA". It matches the Rfam family "Bacterial small subunit ribosomal RNA", at positions 355 to 774 of the family's 1533-position model. The record is from RNAcentral.
UGGUGAAUAUUGGACAAUGGGCGAAAGCCUGAUCCAGCCAUGCCGCGUGUGUGAAGAAGGUCUUCGGAUUGUAAAGCACUUUAAGUUGGGAGGAAGGGCAUUAACCUAAUACGUUAGUGUUUUGACGUUACCGACAGAAUAAGCACCGGCUAACUCUGUGCCAGCAGCCGCAGUAAUACAGAGGGUGCAAGCGUUAAUCGGAAUUACUGGGCGUAAAGCGCGCGUAGGUGGUUUGUUAAGUUGGAUGUGAAAUCCCCGGGCUCAACCUGGGAACUGCAUUCAAAACUGACUGACUAGAGUAUGGUAGAGGGUGGUGGAAUUUCCUGUGUAGCGGUGAAAUGCGUAGAUAUAGGAAGGAACACCAGUGGCGAAGGCGACCACCUGGACUAAUACUGACACUGAGGUGCGAAAGCGUGGGGAGCAAACA